GAGUUUGAUCUUGGCUCAGAACGAACGCUGGCGGCAUGCCUAACACAUGCAAGUCGAACGCCCCGCAAGGGGAGUGGCGAACGGGUGAGUAACGCGUGGGAACCUACCCAGCAGUUGGGGAUAACCGCGGGAAACUUACGCUAAUACCGCAUACGACCUACGGGUGAAAGCGGCGGACCGCAAGGCGUCGCGCGAUUGGAUGAGCCGAUGUCCGAUUAGCUAGUUGGCGGGGUAAAGGCCCACCAAGGCGACGAUCGGUAGCUGGUCUGAGAGGAUGAUCAGCCACACUGGAACUGAGACACGGUCCAGACUCCUACGGGAGGCAGCAGUGGGGAAUAUUGGACAAUGGGCGCAAGCCUGAUCCAGCCAUGCCGCGUGUGUGAAGAAGGCC
RNAcentral lists this ribosomal RNA (391 nucleotides) under uncultured Gammaproteobacteria bacterium. RNAcentral's name for it is "bacterial SSU rRNA". It matches the Rfam family "Bacterial small subunit ribosomal RNA", at positions 9 to 416 of the family's 1533-position model. The record is from RNAcentral. Lineage: Bacteria; Pseudomonadati; Pseudomonadota; Gammaproteobacteria.